RNAcentral lists this ribosomal RNA (544 nucleotides) under Bacillus subtilis. Its description in RNAcentral is "bacterial SSU rRNA". It matches the Rfam family "Bacterial small subunit ribosomal RNA", at positions 342 to 880 of the family's 1533-position model. Lineage: Bacteria; Bacillati; Bacillota; Bacilli; Caryophanales; Bacillaceae. The record is from RNAcentral.
CGGGAGGCAGCAGUAGGGAAUCUUCCGCAAUGGACGAAAGUCUGACGGAGCAACGCCGCGUGAGUGAUGAAGGUUUUCGGAUCGUAAAGCUCUGUUGUUAGGGAAGAACAAGUGCCGUUCAAAUAGGGCGGCACCUUGACGGUACCUAACCAGAAAGCCACGGCUAACUACGUGCCAGCAGCCGCGGUAAUACGUAGGUGGCAAGCGUUGUCCGGAAUUAUUGGGCGUAAAGGGCUCGCAGGCGGUUUCUUAAGUCUGAUGUGAAAGCCCCCGGCUCAACCGGGGAGGGUCAUUGGAAACUGGGGAACUUGAGUGCAGAAGAGGAGAGUGGAAUUCCACGUGUAGCGGUGAAAUGCGUAGAGAUGUGGAGGAACACCAGUGGCGAAGGCGACUCUCUGGUCUGUAACUGACGCUGAGGAGCGAAAGCGUGGGGAGCGAACAGGAUUAGAUACCCUGGUAGUCCACGCCGUAAACGAUGAGUGCUAAGUGUUACGGGUUUCCGCCCUUAGUGCUGCAGCUAACGCAUUAAGCACUCGCUGGGGAG